GAUGAACGCUGGCGGCGUGCCUAAUACAUGCAAGUCGAGCGAACAGACGAGGAGCUUGCUCCUUUGACGUUAGCGGCGGACGGGUGAGUAACACGUAGGUAACCUACCUAUAAGACUGGGAUAACUUCGGGAAACCGGAGCUAAUACCGGAUAAUAUUUCGAACCGCAUGGUUCGAUAGUGAAAGAUGGCUUUGCUAUCACUUAUAGAUGGACCUGCGCCGUAUUAGCUAGUUGGUAAGGUAACGGCUUACCAAGGCAACGAUACGUAGCCGACCUGAGAGGGUGAUCGGCCACACUGGAACUGAGACACGGUCCAGACUCCUACGGGAGGCAGCAGUAGGGAAUCUUCCGCAAUGGGCGAAAGCCUGACGGAGCAACGCCGCGUGAGUGAUGAAGGUCUUCGGAUCGUAAAACUCUGUUAUUAGGGAAGAACAAACGUGUAAGUAACCGUGCACGUCUUGACGGUACCUAAUCAGAAAGCCACGGCUAACUACGUG
Molecule: ribosomal RNA, 497 nt
Filed under: uncultured bacterium
Lineage: Bacteria
Description: partial 16S ribosomal RNA
Rfam family: Bacterial small subunit ribosomal RNA
Source: RNAcentral